RNAcentral lists this ribosomal RNA (449 nucleotides) under uncultured soil bacterium. RNAcentral's name for it is "bacterial SSU rRNA". It matches the Rfam family "Bacterial small subunit ribosomal RNA", at positions 26 to 462 of the family's 1533-position model. The record is from RNAcentral.
AGAUUGAACGCUGGCGGCAGGCCUAACACAUGCAAGUCGAGCGGUAGAGAGGUGCUUGCAUCUCUUGAGAGCGGCGGACGGGUGAGGAAUACGUAGGAAUUUGCCCUUAAGUGGGGGAUAACCCGGGGGAAACCCGGAUUAAUACCGCAUGACCUCGAAAGAGCAAAGCGGGGGAUCGCAAGACCUCACGCUUUUGGAGAAGCCUACGUCGGAUUAGCUAGUUGGUGAGGUAAUGGCUCACCAAGGCGACGAUCCGUAACUGGUCUGAGAGGAUGAUCAGUCACACCGGAACUGAGACACGGUCCGACUCCGUACGGGAGCAGCAAGGUGGGGAAUAGUUGGACAAGUGGGCGCAAGCCUGACUCCAGCAAUGCCGCGUGUGUAGGAAGAACGGCCGUUCGGGUAGGUAAGACGUAACGUUUAAGUUAGGAAAGAAAAACUACGACUAC